AUGGAAAUUGGGUAUGUGGUUAUAAAACAUGACUCUGCUGUUGCUAGUUGGUCCAUCGGGCCUCUGCUGCCCACAGCGUGCAUCCUCUGCUUCUUCCUCGUCUGCUCCAGCGCAGCCAAAUCUGUCUCCCUCUCCUCCACGCCGCCGCCGCUCCAGGCGUGCGCUCUGAUGAGGAGGAGGGCGGCUGCCUCAGGCCGUGGGGCAAGCAGCGGAACCUUCCUCUUUUCACAUCUGCGCCCUGCCGAGAAGGACUGCAGUUGGUCGCCGCACGCACUGCGGCAAGAUGUGGGCGGAUCGACCAUUGCCUCCUUCAUGGUGUGGAGGCUUUCAGAGAUUCCCACCUGCAGCUGCAGGUGCAUCGAUUCAUCCCAUGUUAUCACCGAAUUUGAUGUGAGAAGCAUUUAUUUAGACAGAAGUGAGAUUUAUCAGGGGACUCACUCGUAUGCCGAUUUACUUCAUAGCUCUUCUGGAUUUUUAUGA
Molecule: ribosomal RNA, 480 nt
Filed under: Triticum aestivum (bread wheat)
Lineage: Eukaryota; Viridiplantae; Streptophyta; Magnoliopsida; Poales; Poaceae
Description: partial small subunit ribosomal RNA
Source: RNAcentral